CCUCUGUUAGCUAAACGUGUGUUGGUAGCAUGUACAGUGCAGGAGGACAGUUUAUGGUUGGAAGGUAAACUUUCUAAGCUUUUUCUAAGCUCCAGGCUACAACAUUGUCCGAACUGAAGCCCAAACGAAAGCCUGAAAUUCCAAAGUUGUUGGAACAGCUUGAUCAGCCACGCCAGGUUUACAGAGGGGGCAGCCCUCCGUGUCAGGGAUCCUGAGGUGGCAGAGGCCGACCCCGCUGCAGGGGUGAACUCUUCAGUACCUGGACCAAGCCAAGAGUGGCAAGAACACGGAAGGAUUUCCCCAGCGUCCCAGGUGCCGGAGUGUGUGUUCAGUGAAGGGUGAGGACCAUCUGCCGGGGCUGGGUGAAAUCAGUGCAACAUGCAGGUGCUGAGGUAUUUACCCCAGCACGCAAGAUCACUAGCAGUCCUCCAGCCCCGGCCCCUGUCCUGAUGAUGUAAUUAUUUCCCAGUGGCACCUGGGAGCCACGGUCGCCAUUCAGAGGCAUCGCUCACAGCCAAGUCACCGAGGUCACUCCGAAUGCCUGGCCCUCGACAGCUUGGGCACCUCUCCACAGCCAACAAAAUGGUUGCCAUUAGCCUGUGGAGGACGAGCGCUAACAUCCCCAUUAGAUGCACUUUAAACUCCUGCAGUGUGUCACAGCCAUCAGAUGAUGACACUCCAGCUCUUCCAGGUAAUCCUCGAGGCCCUUCACCGACGGGAUGUAUCAAUUAACAGAUUUGUUUGCUUUCCUCUCCUCCGACCUCAUUUGCAUAGCAGCCGGCUAACACACCGCUCAAGUUCAAGAGCACUGUUGGCAUUGUGUUCUUAAUUGUUUCCUUUAUCCUCUACAACAGGCAGCAGAGGGGCCAAAAAUGAAGAAAUUACCAUACAUAUUAAAACUCAUCUGCUCUGUUGAUGUAAAAGUAUCCAACAGAAGUGGUUCUCAGCACAGAAAGUUACAAGAUGUUAGCAACCACUCCAGGGCGAAGCAUUGUUGACACUCAUUCCUGUUCAGUCUUCGUCAAAGGGGAACUUAGCAUUUCCAAUGCUAAAGGACAGCUGUUGCUGGCAGGCCUCUUUCUCACUGGCGGAGGCACCACUGUUUGGGGCAGUAAUCUGUCAGGGCGGUGGGGUAGCCAAUGGUGGACGCAGAGAAAUGUGGCUCGGGGCUCUAUGCAUAGCAAUGAGGCCAGACAGAUGUAAAACUCCUCUGUGGUUUUACAGCCUCAGUGCUCUCUCUCUGGGUGUUUGCCUGGAUCCUCCCCAUCAACCUUUUGAACACAUCCAUUCCCAUGAUGCAAAACUGUUGCAAGGGCACAUUUAUGCUGUUUGAGUGGAGGCCUUCGCCGUGAUCCAGAGAAGUAGUAUAUUCCCUGGCAUGACUGGUUUACAUUUGUGCAAAGAGCACAUCAGAAU
Cottoperca gobio is the source of this 1416-nucleotide long non-coding RNA. RefSeq lists it as uncharacterized. NCBI's taxonomy places the organism in Eukaryota, Metazoa, Chordata, Actinopteri, Perciformes, Bovichtidae. The transcript is spliced from 5 exons. The record is from RefSeq and is a predicted model, not a curated record.